Molecule: long non-coding RNA, 957 nt
Organism: Lycium barbarum (goji berry)
Lineage: Eukaryota; Viridiplantae; Streptophyta; Magnoliopsida; Solanales; Solanaceae
Exons: 2
Source: RefSeq, a predicted model, not a curated record
GGUGUUGUAGCCGUGUAAAAAGGGACUGUUUUAGGGGAGAUUUAGGGACUGUUUUGUGUCACAUUUGGAUUGUUGUUGUUAUGGACAUUGUGGUGCAUUGUAUGCAUGUUGAAUAUGUGAAUUGAGGUGUUAAAGAAAUGAAUUAUGAUGAAGUGUAUAGGCAGUCCAAAACUGUGGACAGUUUUGAUGUUAGAAGUGAAUUUGUGUGUGUUGAAUGUUGAUUCUUGUUGCAAACGUUUAGUGAAAGUAAAGUGCAUUGAUUCAAGCUGAAACUGAAAUGAUGGUGGGCUGUUAUAAGAAUGGAAAUGAUGCUAAAACAGUUCCAAAAAUCAUGAAAGUAAUGUCAUUAAACGUGUUGUUGUUGUUGCAAGUUAAAACUGGAAAAUUACUAAGUGAGAAUGGAAAUGCUAUGUGUGUUGUUUAGCCAUGUGUAUGAAACAGUUUUGAAUGGUGUAUGGACUGCCCAAGUUCCCUACGUCAUGUUUAAACAAGUCUUGAUUAAUAUAUGAAAGAACGAUUAGCAAUGUUAGCUUGUAACGCUAGUUGGUUUGAAUGCGAACAAAACGUCGUUUAAUUGUUAGAAAGGAAUUGUGAGUGUCACAAUACGUAUUGAAUGCCCUUGUAGACUAAUUGUAGUUCUUCACAUCUUGAUAUAGGAUAAGUGUUUUUGGGCAGCAAGUACAAGUUAGAAUACAACUAAACGCAAAAGGUACAGACGCUCGUUUCGGAGAUCCGCCAGCUUAGGACACUAUUUCAGCUAUUUUGGACUGCUCCUUUGUUCCGGAGCUAGCUUGUGGUAUAACUCCCUUAUGUUGUAUUCGUAGGUGUUUAUUUGGGUAUGGCGGGGCCCUGUCCCGCCACAUAAUACGGUCAUUACUCUUAGAGGUCUGUGGACAUCGGUGUGGGUCUGUUUGUAGUUGUUGAUGCGUUUUAUGUCUAUGACUUAUGUUUGGGGCG